Molecule: unclassified non-coding RNA, 226 nt
Filed under: uncultured fungus
Lineage: Eukaryota; Fungi
Description: sequence contains ITS1, 5.8S rRNA gene
Rfam family: 5.8S ribosomal RNA (bases 178-226)
Source: RNAcentral
UCUCCGUAGGUGAACCUGCGGAGGGAUCAUUACUGAGUGAGGGCCUCCGGUCCGAACUCCAACCCUUUGUGAACACAACUUGUUGCUUCGGGGACGACCCUGCCGUUUCGACGGCGAGCGCCCCCGGAGGCCUUCAAACACUGCAUCUUUGCGACGGAGUUUAAGUAAAUUAAACAAAACUUUCAACAACGGAUCUCUUGGUUCCAGCAGCGAUGAAGAACGCAGC